GUCCAGACUCCUACGGGAGGCAGCAGUGGGGAAUAUUGCACAAUGGGGGAAACCCUGAUGCAGCGACGCCGCGUGAGUGAAGAAGUAUUUCGGUAUGUAAAGCUCUAUCAGCAGGAAAGAAAAUGACGGUACCUGACUAAGAAGCCCCGGCUAACUACGUGCCAGCAGCCGCGGUAAUACGUAGGGGGCAAGCGUUAUCCGGAUUUACUGGGUGUAAAGGGAGCGUAGACGGUGAAGCAAGUCUGAAGUGAAAGGCGGGGGCUCAACCCCCGGACUGCUUUGGAAACUGUUUGACUGGAGUGCAGGAGAGGUAAGUGGAAUUCCUAGUGUAGCGGUGAAAUGCGUAGAUAUUAGGAGGAACACCAGUGGCGAAGGCGGCUUACUGGACUGUAACUGGCGUUGAGGCUCGAAAGCGUGGGGAGCAAACAGGAUUAGAUACCCGAGUAA
This 447-nucleotide ribosomal RNA is filed under the name uncultured bacterium. RNAcentral's name for it is "partial 16S ribosomal RNA". It matches the Rfam family "Bacterial small subunit ribosomal RNA", at positions 329 to 793 of the family's 1533-position model. The record is from RNAcentral.